This 78-nucleotide small RNA is filed under the name Flavobacterium glycines. RNAcentral's name for it is "Flavo-1 RNA". It matches the Rfam family "Flavo-1 RNA". Lineage: Bacteria; Pseudomonadati; Bacteroidota; Flavobacteriia; Flavobacteriales; Flavobacteriaceae. The record is from RNAcentral.
UUUUAGCCCUGAUGGAAGCGGCAUCCUUUUAUGGCUUUCUUUAAGACAUAAAAGAUAUAGCGUACAGCAGGAAUAAGC